UACACAUGCAGUCGAGCGGAAACGAGUUAACUGAACCUUCGGGAACGUUAACGGCGUCGAGCNGNNGGACGGGUGAGUAAUGCCUGGGAAAUUGCCCUGAUGUGGGGGAUAACCAUUGGAAACGAUGGCUAAUACCGCAUAAUAGCUUCGGCUCAAAGAGGGGGACCUUCGGGCCUCUCGCGUCAGGAUAUGCCCAGGUGGGAUUAGCUAGUUGGUGAGGUAAGGGCUCACCAAGGCGACGAUCCCUAGCUGGUCUGAGAGGAUGAUCAGCCACACUGGAACUGAGACACGGUCCAGACUCCUACGGGAGGCAGCAGUGGGGAAUAUUGCACAAUGGGCGCA
RNAcentral lists this ribosomal RNA (342 nucleotides) under bacterium ocnta301lb309onp9.8. RNAcentral describes it as "bacterial SSU rRNA". It matches the Rfam family "Bacterial small subunit ribosomal RNA", at positions 50 to 379 of the family's 1533-position model. The record is from RNAcentral.